Molecule: non-coding RNA, 233 nt
Filed under: Dialister sp.
Lineage: Bacteria; Bacillati; Bacillota; Negativicutes; Veillonellales; Veillonellaceae
Description: T-box sequence
Rfam family: T-box leader
About the family: Uncharged tRNA acts as the effector for transcription antitermination of genes in the T-box leader family.
Source: RNAcentral
AUACAAGCGAUGAAGAGAAGAGUACGCGGAAAGAGAGCCAAAGAGAGUCCCGAAUGGUGAGAAGGGACGCCGGACAUCCGCCGAACAUGGCCUUGGAGCAUGCGCCGCCGAAUGAUGAAGUGGCCCGGGAGUUCCCGUUACAGGACAGGAGUGCCUUGCACUUCACAAGGUCUUUCCGGCGACGGAAAGGCGAACAUGGGUGGUACCACGAAACAGAAUCCUUCGUCCCGUCG